This 468-nucleotide ribosomal RNA is filed under the name uncultured bacterium. Its description in RNAcentral is "partial 16S ribosomal RNA". It matches the Rfam family "Bacterial small subunit ribosomal RNA", at positions 28 to 507 of the family's 1533-position model. The record is from RNAcentral.
GACGAACGCUGGCGGCGUGCUUAACACAUGCAAGUCGAACGGAAAGGCCCUGCCUUUGUGGGGUGCUCGAGUGGCGAACGGGUGAGUAACACGUGAGUAACCUGCCCUUGACUUUGGGAUAACUUCAGGAAACUGGGGCUAAUACCGGAUAGGAGCUCCCGCUGCAUGGUGGGGGUUGGAAAGUUUCGGCGGUUGGGGAUGGACUCGCGGCUUAUCAGCUUGUUGGUGGGGUAGUGGCUUACCAAGGCUUUGACGGGUAGCCGGCCUGAGAGGGUGACCGGCCACAUUGGGACUGAGAUACGGCCCAGACUCCUACGGGAGGCAGCAGUGGGGAAUAUUGCACAAUGGGCGGAAGCCUGAUGCAGCAACGCCGCGUGCGGGAUGACGGCCUUCGGGUUGUAAACCGCUUUCGCCUGUGACGAAGCGUGAGUGACGGUAAUGGGUAAAGAAGCACCGGCUAACUACGUG